This 896-nucleotide ribosomal RNA is filed under the name uncultured archaeon. Its description in RNAcentral is "bacterial SSU rRNA". It matches the Rfam family "Archaeal small subunit ribosomal RNA", at positions 26 to 921 of the family's 1478-position model. The record is from RNAcentral.
ACUGCUAUCGGAUUGGUACUAAGCCAUGCGAGUCGUUGUAGCAAUACAAGGCGGACGGCUCAGUAACACGUAGUCAACCUUAACCUUAUGGACGUGGAUAACCUCGGGAAACUGAGAAUAAACCGCGAUAGAUCAUAAUGCCUUGGAAUGGCUUAUGGUUCAAAUAAUUUUAUUGCCGUAGGAUGGGACUGCGGGCCUAUCAGCUUGUUGGGUGAGGGUAAUGGCCCCACCAAGGCUAUAACAGGUACGGGCUCUGAGAGGAGAAGCCCGGAGACGGGUACUGAGACACGGACCCAGGCCCUAUGGGGCGCAGCAGGCGAGAAACCUUAGCAAUGUGCGAAAGCACGACUAGGUUAAUCCGAGUGAUUUCUGUUGAAGAAAUCUUUUGUCAGUCGUAAAACCACAGACGAAUAAGGGGUGGGCAAGUCUGGUGUCAGCCGCCGCGGUAAUACCAGCACCUCGAGUGGUAAGGAGGUUUAUUGGGCCUAAAGCAUCCGUAGCCGGCUUUGCAAGUCUCCGGUUAAAUCCAACUGCUCAACAGAUGGGCUGCCGGAGAUACUACACAGCUAGGGAGCGGGAGAGGCAGACGGUAUUCGGUGGGUAGGGGUAAAAUCCACUGAUCCAUCGAGGACCACCAGUGGCGAAGGCGGUCUGCCAGAACGCGUUCGACGGUGAGGGAUGAAAGCUGGGGGAGCAAACCGGAUUAGAUACCCGGGUAGUCCCGGCUGUAAACGAUGCAAACUCGGUGAUGCAUUGGCUUAUGGCCAAUGCAGUGCCGCAGGGAAGCCGUUAAGUUUGCCGCCUGGGAAGUACGGACGCAAGUCUGAAACUUAAAGGAAUUGGCGGGGGAGCACCACAAGGGGUGAAGCCUGCGGUUCAAUUGGAUUCAACGCCGG